Molecule: ribosomal RNA, 447 nt
Filed under: uncultured bacterium
Lineage: Bacteria
Description: bacterial SSU rRNA
Rfam family: Bacterial small subunit ribosomal RNA
Source: RNAcentral
UCGGGAAUUUUGGGCAAUGGGCGAAAGCCUGACCCAGCAACGCUGCGUGAAGGAUGAAGUAUUUCGGUAUGUAAACUUCGUAAGAAUAGGAAGAAUAAAUGACGGUACUAUUUGUAAGGUCCGGCUAACUACGUGCCAGCAGCCGCGGUAAUACGUAGGGACCAAGCGUUGUUCGGAUUUACUGGGCGUAAAGGGCGCGUAGGCGGUGUGUCAAGUCAGUUGUGAAAUCUCCGAGCUUAACUCGGAACGGCCAAGUGAUACUGUCGCGCUAGAGUGCAGAAGGGGCAAUCGGAAUUCUUGGUGUAGCGGUGAAAUGCGUAGAUAUCAAGAGGAACACCUGAGGUGAAGACGGGUUGCUGGGCUGACACUGACGCUGAGGCGCGAAAGCCAGGGGAGCAAACGGGAUUAGAUACCCCAGUAGUCCCUGAGCGGGCUGGCAAGGCGCAU